This 4943-nucleotide long non-coding RNA is filed under the name Salmo salar (Atlantic salmon). RNAcentral describes it as "lncRNA (ENSSSAG00000085744.1)". Lineage: Eukaryota; Metazoa; Chordata; Actinopteri; Salmoniformes; Salmonidae. The record is from RNAcentral.
CUUAUCUUGGCAAAGGAGGAAUGCUCACUAACAGGGAUGUAAACAAAUGUGUGCAUACACAUUUUUUGAAAUAAGAUUUUUAUGCUUGUUUUUCUGGGAUCUUUAUUUCAGCUCAUGAAACAUGGAACCAACACUUUACAUGUCACAGAUGGGAUAUAUUUAAAAGGGACUUUGGGAAUUAAGUCCCAGAAGUUAUAAACCACAAGGAGGAAGUGGUCCCCGAUGUCAAGUAGAGCCCCCUUUCCUGACCCUUUCCUACACCCAUCACCCCCAGCUGCUGCUCUUCACUGGUUCCCUCUCUUCACAGCUGGGGAAGUCUGGUGCAGGGGAUGGCUACUUUCUCACAUUCAGAGAUACUAGCACCAGGGUUAGCAUAAUGGCUACAUUUAUAUGGAAUCUUCAACAUCCCCAUCCUACUUGGUUUUCAAGAAAAUCUAGCAGUUUUAGUGAACUUCAGAGUGAUGGAUCAAAAUAGAUAUCUUGGCAAUGGUGGCAUAGCAAUGGUAAGAAAUAUGGGUUUUAACUAAUCCAAGUUCAAAAUGUAUGUUGGAAACAUUGCCCAAUCAUUUCGGAAUUUGACUCAAGACAUUACCAAUGUCUGGUGCAUGUAAUGUGAAACACUUAUUUGGGGAUUCAUUAGUCAAGAGGGCCGGAAUCAAUUAUACAUUAAACAUUGUUUUAUCAACAAGGAAAUAAUAGCCUUGAUUAUCUGAAAGAUGCUGACGCAUCUAGUGCUGAUAUGAUCUAUUAUGAGUAAAGCAUCCCGUGAAACAGAACUGGCUGUGGUGCUGUUCUCUUUCUGGUGGAUUGAAUCAAACCUAGGUUUUCUCACACAAGCUGGUAAACCCAAUCUGUAACAAAAACCCAGUCUAUUGACUGCUCUGAACAGCGAUGCGAAGUAAAUAGUGAAAAUACAUCAAAGACAUUUUUUUCACAAGAGAAAAACAGUACCGAAAGAUUGUUUGUUUAUUGUCUCACAGACAUUUGUCAUUAUCUUUCGUGAGUAUGGCCACAUUCAUAAACCUUUAUAAAACAAAAUAAAUGUGUACAUAAGUCAUUUAGCAGACACUCUUAUCCAGAGACUUACAGGAGAAAUUAGGGGUAAGAUUUUUCAACUAGUCAGCUCAGGGAUUCAAACCAUCAACCUUUCAGUUACCGGCCCAACACUCUUAACCACUAGGCUACCUGCUACCCCAUUCAUGGCUUAUUGCAACGUCCAUAACUUUAUGCCAUGUCCCCUGGAUACACAGGUCAGUCUUCCUAGACAAAAUAAGCCAUGUGAAUGGCAACAUGUGUGGUCUGUGAUAAGAGUCCACUGUAUAUGUAGACAGGGAUGUCACACAACGAUUAAAGGGCUUUGGGAAAAGAGGUAAACUCAGAAUAUAACCUAGGAUUUACUCUGGACAUCAAAAAUAUAAAACACCUCAUCUGUUUUCAUACAUUUGUAUCAGUAUAAUGUCAAGUCAGAUAAUUCAUGGGCCCAACCUUUUCUCUCUCCAGAUUAUUAUCAAUAUGUCACAUCAUAGACCAUUGUUGGUUUCAUAGUUUUUAUAUUUUUUACAUGGAGUGUUAAGAAAAUGGUAGGCCUUUUGGAAAAUGUUGGUUUGGCACUACAUAAAAGGGAUAAAGGUCAAAGUAUUGAAUGAGUGAUUACAGCAUCUGUUGAAAUAACCGACAAAUGUUAAGACUUCUGAUUGGAACAAAGACAGUGGGAAAUGAUUAUAGGCUACACGAUGUCAAUGAGACUAAAACAAUCACAGGACAUCAGUGACACUGUGGUUCACGUUCUGGCUACUCUGUCACAAUAUUGAAGUCACUCCAUCGUGUUUGAACCCAAAAUAUAUUACGGGCAGAGCCUAUCCAACAUUUAUGAAACCUUGGCCCAAAAAAGGCAUAUCAAAUAUGACUCACCAGCCUUUUGCUUUUAUUGUCACUUAACAGGCCUUUCUGCAACACUUGCAAUCUAAUUCAAUAACCAUUGCAGUUUGUGCUGUAAAUCUUCAACAUGGCAUUUCACAGAGCUUUGAUCAAUACUUAUUUUGAGCAAAGAGACAAAAUCGAAACAAGGAAUUAUGAACCCAUUACUGACGAAUGGUGGUCAUUGUGAACAUGUCAAUGUUUGAUCACAAGAUAAAAACAUUUUAAUAACUAUAAAGAUGAAUAAACCUUGUGUGGAGCAUAAAUUAGGUAGUGUUCAUAUGUCAGCAUAGUGGAAAGAACUGGCUAUAGUGAUAAAAGUGAUGGAAUAAUAAUUUGAACAAAACCAAAAAAAAAUGUGUUCAUAUGACAAGACAGAUAGAUCUGGUUAAUGAUUUCUGACACUGAUAUUUUUAGACAACCAUAGCUUAUGAAAUUAACCCUUUCUCACAAUCCAAAACCAUUUCACACUUUUUAUGGGUCUCUGGAUGUGAACUGCUUGGAACAAUAUUGGCUAUUGGCAAAUUGCAUUUGAGAGGUUGUCACCAUUUAAACCUAUACAUAAGCUACAAAAUGUGUUUUUACGACAGCAUUUGAUACGGUAUUGUCUCCAGUGUUUUAAACUGCCAAUGGAAUGCUUUCAAACUGAACUUAUGCUGAAUAAAGUCAAUUAACUGCUACACAGCAAGCAUUCCUUAUUAGGUUUACACAGCACAUACAGUUUGGAACGACAUGAAGUGUACAGCACAUGAAGUGUUCAGUCAUUUGAACAAACAAGUGUAAACAUUUUGGCAAGCACUGUCAUGGUGGUCUGAACAAAAUACAGGCAUCAUUUAUGACAUCAGCCACGGACGACAAGCAAUUUCAGCAGUGCACUGGACUUGGAUAUCGUGCGUCUGAGCUGCAAUGUACUGCAGGUGUAGAUGUAGCCUAUAGUCUCUGCACAUCCUAAACCUGAGAUUUAACAUGUUAACAAGGCAGCACUCUGGGUAACGCCCCUCCCCCAUUUGGACCCUCAGAGAUAUACAUCCAUGGUAUUAAGGAUCAUAUGGCGGCAGAGUGGACAGUUCUGCUGGUAGACGGGCUGGCGUAGCAGUAUGUUAGUACAGUCCCGACACAGACACAGGUGGCGGCAGGGCAGCAGCACCACUGUCUUGGUGCUGUCCUGGCAGAUGACGCACUUCUUCCUCUCCUCCUGGUCCUUGAGCAGAGUCAGUAGGCUGUCGGCCGGGGGACCCUUGGAGCUGGAGCACUCCUCCCCCGAGGAGAGUUUCUGUAAAGGCCUGUCUGUGCUGCUAGAGCUGGGGAACGCUAGGUCCCACAGGUCAUCCAUUACCUGCCGUGGCCGGGCAGCAUGUUCAGCGGUUGGUGCUGCGUCUCCUUCCCUACUGUCCGUAAGAGCCCCCUGCUCUCUGUCACUGGGCUCAGAUUGCCUGGCGUGGCCAUCACCCCUCACUCUGAUGUUCCUGUAGACUGGUGUUAUCGUUUGGUGUAGACGGCUGGCCUGCUGCUGAAGCCUCUGCCACACGCCCCUCUCCAGCACGUAGAGGAGAUGGAGCGCCCUCUGUAUGAGAUGCAGGGUGGGGACAGAGUUGACAAAACCGAAGGCGCGCCGGACUCCAAGACUGGUCAGCUCAGGGUUCAUGUAGACUGUGGCGGUGACAACAAUGGUCGCCGUGAGAAUGAGGCCAUAGAUGUUCAGGAGGAAGACGUUGACGAAGAUGUGUCCGAGUGAGCCCAGGAACUCCAGGGCCAGCCUGAUGGGAGUCCAGAGAACGACUGAGGUGCCAACCAGGCUGCUGUACAGAAAGGUGAAGAGUGUGAGGGUGAGCUCCACAGCCUUCUGCAGGGGGCAGGAGACCGCCUCCCACAUGCUGACUACAACAGAGUAGACGUUCUGUGUCCCGAUGAGCAGCAGGUUGACCACCGUGUUGACCAGGUAGAACACCAGGCUGACCACAAUGCCACAGCCCUCCCACACCUGCUGCAGCAAGCAGUGGCCACACAGCAGCCCACGGUGGAACAGAUCCCUGACACGCAGGAGAACAUGUGAGGACAAGUAGCCCACCAUUUUGAAACUCUCCAGAACACCUCCCAAGAGGUGCAGCCAGCGCCCUAACAUGUUGACUGUGCCCUGGGCCAAAAGUGUUACGCUGUCCAUCAUGGUGACCAUGCAGAACACAGUGAAGUUCCAGCACUUCACAAUUGAGUUGGUCAGUAACAUGGGUAGGUUAUUCACAAAGGUGAUACAUGCCGCCAGGAGACGUAUCACUGAAUGGACUAUUAAGAAAUUUAGGUCCAGGAGUAAAGAUAUGAAAUUGAAACAUCUCCCAAUGGUGCAAAAGACAAGGUUCACCAGACCCAUGACAAAGGUUUUACUCGAGUUGCUUCACUGUCUUGAUAAAAUCACUUUUUGGUCUGGCCAGCAAAGGUUACACAUAGCUAGCUAGAUAAGGUUGGCAGAUGCGUUGUCCACUUCUCGUUCGGUACAAUUAGCCAGCUAGCUAAACUAGUUAGCGAUCUAGCAUAACAAUGCUAGCUCUAUUAACUAGCUAGCAUAGCUACCUGCCAAACCCGUCGGUAGGGCACAUUCCACUUGCAAUUUCAAAUAAACAGCUGUGCAACCGCGUUUGUUUUGGCUGAAGUGCAAACAUCUGCACGCACUGUAAUCAGCGGACGUAUACUUCCAAACUCGAGCUGGCUAGUACCAGUAACUAGCUAGCUCAUCGGUUAGCCAACUAACCAGCAUAAACCUUUCUUGCUAAAUACAUUUCCAUCUUAGGCUCACAAAAUGUUACAUUUACUCAUGACCCGUCGUCAAUAACGUAUCUGUCAUCUCCCUGUUCAAAGUCCACCAUAAUCAUAACCAUAUUUACACGCCAGCCACCAUAACGGUUUCGGUUUGGUCACAUGAUCUUCUCCUCCAAUGAAUCACGUCUGUCCGCAUCACGAGAGUCAACGUAUGUAAAUUCAACCGGUUUAAAAUUAAUUUCCUUAAUUGAAGUCAAUGCAGUUGGAAAAAAUCU